CCUAGUAGAUGAGUGCAUUCUGGCUGAGUCCAAAGAAGAGACUUGGGAGGACAAACUCAGCCCCCUUCAGAGAAAGAUUGUGGGCUGCUCUCUGGCUGCAUUUGCGGGCAUUCUCUAUGGAUGUUGUUACACACCAAUCAUCUUUGUGAAAAACAGUGCGAUAAGAAACGACACACAUUUCGCAGGUGCCAGUCAAUAUGAUCUGGAUUACAUUUUCCCGUUCAUGACUGGUGCUUGUGCUACGACGGCUCUAGCAUUCUUUGUUUAUUGUGUAAUCAUGAAGAACAGACCUCAUCUUCCUUCAAAAUGUAUCCUGCCAGCUUUUCUUGCAGGAUCCUUGCAGUUUGGAAGCCAAAUUUCCUGGUUUUUGUCCUGUUAUUAUGUUGGAACUGCUAUAACAUACCCUAUUGGUACAGCUGGACCUGCUCUUGUGUCGUUGGCAUGGAGUGUAUUUUGCUUCCGAGAGAUAAAGGGAGUCAAGAACUUCAUUCUGCUUGCUGUUGUUUUGUUCACUGUUCUUACUGGUAUUAUACUCAUUUCAAUUUCAAAAAUAGGCUAAAUUAAGCUUCAUCCUGAAGCAAACUGUAAUAUUUGUAAUAAUGUAAUAAUGUUGAUUGUGUUGUUGUUUUAGCCUUUGUGUUGUUGUUUUAGCCAUGUUUAACACUGUAAUAAAAUGUAAGACCCUC
This is a long non-coding RNA of Sardina pilchardus (European sardine), 686 nucleotides long. RefSeq lists it as uncharacterized. NCBI's taxonomy places the organism in Eukaryota, Metazoa, Chordata, Actinopteri, Clupeiformes, Clupeidae. The record is from RefSeq and is a predicted model, not a curated record. The transcript is spliced from 6 exons.